AGUCGAGCGAAUGGAUUAAGAGCUUGCUCUUAUGAAGUUAGCGGCGGACGGGUGAGUAACACGUGCGGUAACCUGCCCAUAAGACUGGGAUAACUCCGGGAAACCGGGGCUAAUACCGGAUAACAUUUUGAACUGCAUGGUUCGAAAUUGAAAGGCGGCUAUCGGAACUGUCAACGGUUUUAUGAGAUGGACUCCGCGUCGCAGUCUAGCUAGUUGGUGAGGUAACGGCUCACCAAGGCAACGAUGCGUAGCCGACCUGAGAGGGUGCAUCGGCCACACUGGGACUGAGACACGGCCCAGACUCCUACGGGAGGUCAGCAGUAGGGAAUCUUCCGCAAUGGACGAAAGUCAUGACGGAGCAACGCCGCGUGAGUGAUGAAGGCUUUGCGGGUCGUAACCCAACAUCUGUUGUUAGGAGAAGACGACAAGUGCUAGUUGAAUAAGCUGGCACCUUGACGGUACCUAACCAGAAAGCCACGGCUAACUACGUGCCAGCAGCCGCGGUCAAUACGUAGGUGGCAAGCGUUAUCCGGAAUUAUUGGGCGUAAAGCGCGCGCAGGUGGUUUCUUAAGUCUGAUGUGAAAGCCCACGGCUCAAUUCCGUGGAGGGUCAUUGGAAACUGGGAGACUUGAGUGCAGAAGAGGAAAGUGGAAUUCCAUGUGUUCAGCGGUGAAAUGCGUAGAGACUAUGGAGGCUAAGCACUCAGUGGCGAAGGCGACUUUCUGGUCUGUAACUGACACUGAGGCGCGAAAGCGUGGGGAGCAAACAGGAUUAGAUACCCUG
Molecule: ribosomal RNA, 783 nt
Filed under: Bacillus cereus
Lineage: Bacteria; Bacillati; Bacillota; Bacilli; Caryophanales; Bacillaceae
Description: bacterial SSU rRNA
Rfam family: Bacterial small subunit ribosomal RNA
Source: RNAcentral